Molecule: long non-coding RNA, 352 nt
Filed under: Actinidia chinensis (golden kiwifruit)
Lineage: Eukaryota; Viridiplantae; Streptophyta; Magnoliopsida; Ericales; Actinidiaceae
Description: long non-coding RNA (ACHI_LNC009432)
Source: RNAcentral
CUCCAAUAACUGCAGUUAACAACGAUCUAAGUUUUAGCAUCGAAAUAUUAUGGCAAAAGCUGAAGUUCAAAGCAUUAAAAAUGGAGUUUAUAGAUAAUCAGCAGCUUAUGUAAGUUGUUUUUGGCCCAUUAGACGUGUAUUCUGAAAAGGGAAAAAAAAAAGCUGAAAGCUGCAGCAAAAACUGAUAUGUAGUACAUUAGAGUUAUAUGAGAGAGAUUAUGCCUUACUUGCAUGUAAAAGGCGGUGAAUUAGGAUCAAAAGCAUAUGGUGGUGAGGGUGAGGGUUGGUCUUAUGGGACUGGUGAGUUCCGCCGACUGGUGUUGUUGGGGUUAGGUUACAGUGACUGGUGGAG